GCAACUUUGGCCGAGCGGUUAAGGCGCCAGGUUAGUCAUCAAUUCUUUCAAUCCUUAAUUUGAACUCCACUAACAAUAUCAUAGACUCAAGAGAAUUACCUCUUUCACUGUGUCAGUGAAGCAUUCUGGUCUCGAAAGAGGCGUGGGUUCGAGUCCCACAGGUUGCA
Molecule: transfer RNA, 167 nt
Filed under: Penicillium biforme
Lineage: Eukaryota; Fungi; Ascomycota; Eurotiomycetes; Eurotiales; Aspergillaceae
Description: tRNA-Thr
Rfam family: tRNA
About the family: Transfer RNA (tRNA) molecules are approximately 80 nucleotides in length.
Source: RNAcentral